GCCCGAGUGGUGAAAUUGGUAUACACAGGAGACUUAAAAUCUCCCGACCUCACGGUCGUGCCGGUUCAAGUCCGGCCUCGGGCACCA
RNAcentral lists this transfer RNA (87 nucleotides) under Simiduia agarivorans. Its description in RNAcentral is "tRNA-Leu". It matches the Rfam family "tRNA". From Rfam's summary of the family: Transfer RNA (tRNA) molecules are approximately 80 nucleotides in length. RNAcentral also lists the same sequence under 3 other names. Lineage: Bacteria; Pseudomonadati; Pseudomonadota; Gammaproteobacteria; Cellvibrionales; Cellvibrionaceae. The record is from RNAcentral.